GAAAAAAAGUGUCAUUUUUCAUUGACGUCAAUACUGUAGAGUCAUUCCAGCGUUUCCUCUGAAUGCGCUGGUGUUGGCCAAGUUUCUGCAGUUGCUUUAAGGCUGAAUGGCAUCAGAUCCACACCGGAUUUGCAUCGAAAGCUACAGUAUAUGCUCUCUCUCCUACACGACCAAGCAAUCUUCAUUUCCUUGGGUUUCCAAAACCACAAGGACACAGAAAAUUUUAACUGUCAAAUGUAAACCUCUCAGUCAGUAGCUAUAGAUUCAUAAAUUGAUUCUACUAAGAAAAAAUGUCUCUCUUUUUCACACACUCUCUCUUCACAUAUGUCAGCACUGGUUGUGUUUAGAGAACUGUUAAGCUGUAUCCUCAAGACUGUGGAGCCACACCUGAAUCAUAUUUACCUCUCCUGGUCCUAGACUAAAAAUCAUCUGCUUGCCCCUGUAUGUUCUGUACUAGCAGGCUAGCCGAUGGUGAAUGUUUAUGAAGUAGGCGCCGGGAUGUUCUGGAACUGAGUUGUGGCCAUGCUGUUAUGCCAUCAUUUUCCACAGGAACUAUAGGUUGCCAGGUAACAGGCAAUUAAAUGGUUUGGAGUUCUGGACAGAAGUCUUUCCUGUCAUUGAAAAAAGCAACCUCAGUUUCAGAUUAGUUGGAAGUGAGUGGAAGGCUGGACUCUCCUCAGAGUCGGGGAGUGACAUGCUGAACUAAACCAUAUCUCAGCCAUAAUCAUUAUCUCUUUGACGUCAUCAUCAUUUCAUUUAACGACACUGUGACUGACAUUAUUUCAUUGGCAUUAUUUCAUUUCAAAUCCAAUACGCCGAGACAAAAGGAAAGACACCAAAUAUUCUAUUAGGAUCUGGCCGUUUAUUGGAUUGUUUGACGCAGUAGGCUACUAAAUCGAGGAGACAUGACCAUGACAUUCCCUAUCUGUCCCUGCAUGUUUCUGUUUGUCACAUGGAACAAACUGUUUUUUUAUGUUUGUUUAUUUGUUUUGCUUCCUAAACUUGACAUUCUGGUUUGUGGGGCUAUGGCAUAUGUGUCAGGACAUUUACUAUAGUGAGCUCUAAGUUUUCCAUCUAAGUUUUAACCUGAAAACAAACGCUGUUGCCAAUAUGCUUAUAAAGGCUUUCGUCUUCUCCCAUAUCAACCUUUGUAACUCCCGUUUGAAUGGCCUUCCAGCUAACCUGAAAACACAACCGUUUAAAUUUUGGAUUGGAUUUUGUCUCGAGGAUCAUCCUGUUAAGUCAUAGUAGGUAUUACUGGUGUCAUCAGAUGACUCUUCAAACAGAUCUAUAUCAGCUCUGCACCUCGCCCCUUCCCAUCAAUAUCAGAUCAUAUCAGCUCUAUAUGGUUCCAUCUCAGUCUCUAAGAUCAUGUCUUCCUGAUUUAAAAGAUUGGCUUGAUAGCAACUAUCUGAAAGUCAACACUAAUAAAACAGAGGUCACGUGAACAGGCCAUAAGUCACUGGUUUCUGCAUCCUCCACUUUCCCUGUAAAUGAUGACAGUAUUCCUAUCACACCAGAGACAGUAAAAGCCUUGGCAUCAUUUUAUACUCAUCACUUAAUUAGACUUCUUUUCAUCAUUUGCACCACAUAAUGUGCCUCCAUCAUCUGCCCAGUAACGCCGUCGUCAAUAUGCUGAUAAAUGCUUUCAUCUUCUCCCAUAUCGACCCUUUUGUAAGUCCUUCUUGAAUGGCCUUCCUGCCAUAUCGCUAAACUGGCUUCAGUAUACUCUGCUGCCAGGGCUCUCACUUUUAGAAGGCUUCCUGCGCACAUCACCCUCGGGCUUCAUCAGCUACACCGGCUACCUGUAGCUUCAUAGUCUCGCUCCCUCACCCUUCCCUAGAUCUUAUGCCACUGGUACACAAGUGCCACUGCUCCAAUGCUAGGGAAUUUUCUUUCACCCACUUUGCGACUGUUCUUCUCGUUCUUCGGCACAUUUUCCUCUUCCUACGUUUUUUUUAAGCUUUGUUUUGUUUUGUUUUUCUAAACUGUAAAGCGUCUUUGGGUUUGUGAAGGGUACUAUAUAAGUUUAAUUUAUUGUAAUCAUUGUUGUUAAACUAUGCUAACAGAAUGUUACCCGUCUUAUUCCGCUGACUAAACCCAGAUGCUUCGUAACCCAAAAGUCACCCUCAAAUUGUAGAGCUGGUAGGGCGAUACACUGAAUAUUCAUUCUGAUCAUAGUAAUACGAUGCUGAUCAGAACCGGCGCACAGGUGUGUUUAUGCCUUACCGAAGAGCAGAGACCGCUUGAGAAACCUACUUGGUUUAUACUCUAGCGACACCUAGUGUUGAAUUGUGCCAUGAACAUCCGCGGAGACUCGACUAAGCCCCGCCGUGUGCUAGCACAGCCUGACUAAAGAACAGUUUCUACCCCGGUACUGUAACACACUGGGUACACAUUUACUCACUCCCCGCUUUUAAAAUAGCACCACGGCUGUAACUGUGCUGGAGCUCAGCCACACUACCACAUCUAGACGACUACAUAUGCUGACCUAUGAGCAAUGCACACCUAACGGCACUGAUUGUAUUAUACUGAAUAUGGUUUCCCACCCCCUCUCACAUCUGUUUACUUGUCCAAUCAUUUAAUUGAGUGCAAUCAUUUAAUUUACUUAUUAUAUACCAUCCCUUCGAGUGCAAUAAACGGUACUAUGCAACAACCCUCCAAUUUGCUCCCCAGCCGUGCACUCUAUUCUUUCAUUUUAUGUAUAUAUUUACUUUAUUUUUUCUUUACUUACAUUCUAUAGUCUACACGUGUUUUAUAGCUUUACCACGGGCUUGUACUCGAACAGUGACAAUAAAGGUAUCUCAUCUCA
Molecule: long non-coding RNA, 2812 nt
Organism: Electrophorus electricus (electric eel)
Lineage: Eukaryota; Metazoa; Chordata; Actinopteri; Gymnotiformes; Gymnotidae
Source: RefSeq, a predicted model, not a curated record